Acanthosepion pharaonis is the source of this 114-nucleotide non-coding RNA. Lineage: Eukaryota; Metazoa; Mollusca; Cephalopoda; Sepiida; Sepiidae. The record is from the annotation of a GenBank genome assembly.
UUACGGCCACAUCAGGUUGAAACACCGGUUCCUGUAUGAUUACCGAAGUUAAGCAACGUUGAGCCUUGUCAGUACCUAGAUUGGUGACCAUUUGGGAAUACCAGGUGCUGUAAG